UACAGAGGUCUCAAGCGUUGUUCGGAUUCAUUGGGCGUAAAGGGUGCGUAGGUGGCGGGGUAAGUCAGGUGUGAAAUUUCGGAGCUUAACUCCGAAACUGCAUUUGAUACUGCCGUGCUUGAGGACUGGAGAGGAGACUGGAAUUUACGGUGUAGCGGUGAAAUGCGUAGAUAUCGUAAGGAAGACCAGUGGCGAAGGCGGGUCUCUGGACAGUUCCUGACGCUGAGGCACGAAGGUCAGGGGAGCAAACGGG
This 253-nucleotide ribosomal RNA is filed under the name uncultured bacterium. RNAcentral's name for it is "partial 16S ribosomal RNA". It matches the Rfam family "Bacterial small subunit ribosomal RNA", at positions 524 to 776 of the family's 1533-position model. The record is from RNAcentral.